AGUGAACGCUGGCGGUAGGCCUAACACAUGCAAGUCGAACGGCAGCACAGUAAGAGCUUGCUCUUACGGGUGGCGAGUGGCGGACGGGUGAGGAAUACAUCGGAAUCUACUUUUUCGUGGGGGAUAACGUAGGGAAACUUACGCUAAUACCGCAUACGACCUACGGGUGAAAGCAGGGGAUCUUCGGACCUUGCGCGAUUGAAUGAGCCGAUGUCGGAUUAGCUAGUUGGCGGGGUAAAGGCCCACCAAGGCGACGAUCCGUAGCUGAUCUGAGAGGAUGAUCAGCCACACUGGAACUGAGACACGGUCCAGACUCCUACGGGAGGCAGCAGUGGGGAAUAUUGGACAAUGGGCGCAAGCCUGAUCCAGCCAUACCGCGUGGGUGAAGAAGGCCUUCGGGUUGUAAAGCCCUUUUGUUGGGAAAGAAAAGCAGCAGGUUAAUACCCCGCUGUUCUGACGGUACCAAAAGAAUAAGCACCGGCUAACUUCGUG
RNAcentral lists this ribosomal RNA (492 nucleotides) under uncultured bacterium. RNAcentral describes it as "partial 16S ribosomal RNA". It matches the Rfam family "Bacterial small subunit ribosomal RNA", at positions 29 to 507 of the family's 1533-position model. The record is from RNAcentral.